UUCAAUGAAGGAUUACAAAAUUCUUGAGAAAGCUCGGUAAUCGGGACGGCAGAGUUUAUUAGGGUAUAUGUUAAAUGUUGCAGCUUUGGAAUGGAAUUGUUAACUUAUUUUACACAUACUAUGACUUAAGUUUGCCUCGUGUACAGUAGAUGAUGCUACAGUCUGAAGUAUAUUUCAAUUUCGUUAUAUCGUUUUUCCAGGUUGAGAUUUGAAUACUAGUUGCAGUGCGAAAUUUACAACAUUUGAAGUAUGUAAAUGUUCUGUUUAUUUGGCAAAUUGAAUAAAAUAAGACUGUU
Molecule: non-coding RNA, 296 nt
Organism: Schizosaccharomyces pombe (fission yeast)
Lineage: Eukaryota; Fungi; Ascomycota; Schizosaccharomycetes; Schizosaccharomycetales; Schizosaccharomycetaceae
Source: the annotation of a GenBank genome assembly